RNAcentral lists this ribosomal RNA (514 nucleotides) under uncultured bacterium. RNAcentral describes it as "bacterial SSU rRNA". It matches the Rfam family "Bacterial small subunit ribosomal RNA", at positions 29 to 526 of the family's 1533-position model. The record is from RNAcentral.
AGCGAACGCUGGCGGCAUGCUUAACACAUGCAAGUCGAGCGAGAAAAUGGCUUCGGCCAUGAGUACAGCGGCGGACGGGUGAGUAAUACAUGGAUAAUCUGCCUUUAGGACUGGGACAACCCAGGGAAACUUGGGCUAAUACCGGAUAAGACCACAGAAUCUCCGGAUUCAGUGGUAAAAGGUGGCUUCGGCUAUCACCUAUAGAUGAGUCCAUGUCCCAUCAGGUAGUUGGUGAGGUAACGGCCCACCAAGCCUAAGACGGGUAGCCGACCUUAGCGGGUGAUCGGCCACACGGGGACUGAGACACGGCCCCGACUCCUACGGGAGGCAGCAGUGGGGAAUAUUGGACAAUGGGCGCAAGCCUGAUCCAGCAAUGCCGCGUGAGGGAUGAAGGCUUUCGAGUCGUAAACCUCUGUCAGUUGGAACGAUGGGUUUGUAGGUUAAUACCCUGCAGACUUGACGGUACCUUCAAAGGAAGCCCCGGCUAACUCCGUGCCAGCCGCCGCCGUAACAC